RNAcentral lists this ribosomal RNA (1460 nucleotides) under metagenome. RNAcentral describes it as "bacterial LSU rRNA". It matches the Rfam family "Bacterial large subunit ribosomal RNA", at positions 1457 to 2925 of the family's 2925-position model. The record is from RNAcentral.
GACUGCGAUGGGAGGACGGAGAAGGCUAGGACAGCAACCUAUUGGAUGGUUGUUUAAGCGUUUAGGUGGGAUUCUUAGGCAAAUCCGGGAAUCCAUUCAACACUGAGGCGUGAUGACGAGGUACUACGGUACUGAAGUGUUUGAUGCCAUGCUUCCAAGAAAAGUCCCUAAGCUUCAGGUAUAAAUUAACCGUACCCCAAACCGACACAGGUGGGCUGGAUGAGAAUUCAAGGCGCUUGAGAGAACUCGGAUGAAGGAACUAGGCAAAAUGGUACCGUAACUUCGGGAGAAGGUACGCCCACGCAAGUGGGCCGCAGAGACCAGGCCGCUGCGACUGUUUAUCAAAAACACAGCACUCUGCAAACUCGAAAGAGGACGUAUAGGGUGUGACGCCUGCCCGGUGCCGGAAGGUUAAUUGAUGGGGUUAGCGCAAGCGAAGCUCUUGAUCGAAGCCCCGGUAAACGGCGGCCGUAACGAUAACGGUCCUAAGGUAGCGAAAUUCCUUGUCGGGUAAGUUCCGACCUGCACGAAUGGCGUAACGAUGGCGGCACUGUCUCCGUCCGAGACUCAGUGAAAUUGAAAUCGCUGUGAAGAUGCAGUGUACCCGCGGCUAGACGGAAAGACCCCGUGAACCUUUACUAUAGCUUUGUAUUGAACUUUGAACCUACUUGUGUAGGAUAGGUGGGAGACUAUGAAACCGGAACGCCAGUUCUGGUGGAGUCGUCCUUGAAAUACCACCCUGGUAUGUUCGGAGUUCUAACCCAGGCAUCACAAUGCCGGGGACAAUACAUGGUGGGUAGUUUGACUGGGGCGGUCUCCUCCUAAAGAGUAACGGAGGAGCGCGAAGGUGUGCUAAUCACGGUCGGAAAUCGUGAGGUUUGUGUAAAGGCAUAAGCACGCUUGACUGCGAGACAGACAAGUCGAGCAGGUACGAAAGUAGGUCUUAGUGAUCCGGUGGCUCUGAAUGGAAGGGCCAUCGCUCAACGGAUAAAAGGUACUCCGGGGAUAACAGGCUGAUUCCUCCCAAGAGUCCAUAUCGACGGGGGAGUUUGGCACCUCGAUGUCGGCUCAUCACAUCCUGGGGCUGAAGCAGGUCCCAAGGGUAUGGCUGUUCGCCAUUUAAAGUGGUACGCGAGCUGGGUUCAGAACGUCGUGAGACAGUUCGGUCCCUAUCUGCCGUGGGCGUUGGAGAUUUGAGGGAAGCUGACCUUAGUACGAGAGGACCGGGUUGGACGAACCUCUGGUGUUCCUGUUGUCACGCCAGUGGCAUUGCAGGGUAGCUAUGUUCGGACGGGAUAACCGCUGAAAGCAUCUAAGCGGGAAGCCCCUCCCAAGAUGAGAUCCCCCUGACCCCUUGAGGGUCCUAAAGGGCCGUUGGAGACUACGACGUUGAUAGGCUGGGUGUGGAAGUGCAGUAAUGUAUGCAGCUAACCAGUACUAAUUGCCCGUGAGGCUUGAUC